AUGGCCGUUCGUUCUAGAAAGGAGACAAUAUCUAUAUCGGUUUGCUUUGCUAUGACUAUCAACAAAGGGGAGGGGCAAUCUCUAAACAAGGUAGAACUACAUCUAUCUAAACAAGUUUUCACACAUGGACAACUAUAUGUAGCCUUCUCAAGAGUCACAAAAAGGGAUGGACUGCAAGUAAUGGUAAAUGAUGAAGAUAGCAAUUAG
This 207-nucleotide ribosomal RNA is filed under the name Triticum aestivum (bread wheat). RNAcentral describes it as "partial small subunit ribosomal RNA". Lineage: Eukaryota; Viridiplantae; Streptophyta; Magnoliopsida; Poales; Poaceae. The record is from RNAcentral.